AGACUGUCUCAUUAGUUUCUUCUAGAAAUUACUUUAAAGAGUGAAAAUUCUCUUGAGAAUAAAAAAAGACGAGAAGACCCUUAGAGUUUAAAUUAAAAAAGAGUCUCUUUUUAAUUUUUUUGUUGGGGCAACAAGAUAUCAGAUAAAUUUAUCUAAAUAAAAUUUAACAAGCCGUACUAAUUGUAAAGAAAGGUAAAACUACCUUAGGGAUAACAGCAUAAUUUUUUUUAAGAUUGUGACCUCGAUGUUGGACUAG
RNAcentral lists this ribosomal RNA (256 nucleotides) under Phaedusa angustocostata. RNAcentral describes it as "partial 16S ribosomal RNA". Lineage: Eukaryota; Metazoa; Mollusca; Gastropoda; Stylommatophora; Clausiliidae. The record is from RNAcentral.